RNAcentral lists this ribosomal RNA (442 nucleotides) under uncultured bacterium. RNAcentral's name for it is "partial 16S ribosomal RNA". It matches the Rfam family "Bacterial small subunit ribosomal RNA", at positions 338 to 795 of the family's 1533-position model. The record is from RNAcentral.
CCUACGGGUGACAGCAGUGGGGAAUAUUGGUCAAUGGGCGACAGCCUGACCCAGCCACGCCGCGUGAAGGAAGAAUGCUUUCGGGUUUUAAACUUCUUUUGACAGGGAAGAGAAGAAGACGGUACCUGUCGAAUAAUCCACGGCUAACGACGUGCCAGCAGCAGCGGUAGUACGUAGGUGGCAAGCGUUGUCCGGAUUUACUGGGUGUAAAGGGCGUGUAGCCGGGCUGACAAGUCAGAUGUGAAAUCCGGGGGCUCAACCCCCGAACUGCAUUUGAAACUGUUGGUCUUGAGUGUCCGAGAGGCAGGCGGAAUUCGUAGUGUAGCGGUGAAAUGCGUAGAUAUUAGGAGGAACACCAGUGGCGAAGGCGGCCUGCUGGACGACAACUGACGGUGAGGCGCGAAAGCGUGGGGAGCAAACAGGAUUAGAUACCAGGGUAGUC